AGCAGUCGCCGCGGGAACACGAAGGUGGCAGGCGUUGUCCGGAAUUAUUGGGCGUAAAGCGCGCGCAGGCGGCCUAUCCAGUCUGUCUUAAAAGUUCGGGGCUCAACCCCGUGAUGGGAUGGAAGCUAGUAGGCUAGAGUAUCGGAGAGGAAAGCGGAAUUCCUAGUGUAGCGGUGAAAUGCGUAGAUAUUAGGAAGAACACCAGUGGCGAAGGCGGCUUUCUGGACGAAAACUGACGCUGAGGCGCGAAAGCCAGGGGAGCGAACGGGAUUAGAUACCCCUGUAGUCCCUGUCUCUUAUACA
This 303-nucleotide ribosomal RNA is filed under the name uncultured bacterium. RNAcentral's name for it is "partial 16S ribosomal RNA". It matches the Rfam family "Bacterial small subunit ribosomal RNA", at positions 507 to 809 of the family's 1533-position model. The record is from RNAcentral.